GACGAACGCUGGCGGCGUGCUUAACACAUGCAAGUCGAACGGAAAGGCCUCUUUCGGGGGGUACUCGAGUGGCGAACGGGUGAGUAACACGUGAGUAACCUGCCCUUGACUUUGGGAUAACUUCAGGAAACUGGGGCUAUACCGGAUAGGAGCUCCUGCUGCAUGGUGGGGGUUGGAAAGUUUCGGCGGUUGGGGAUGGACUCGCGGCUUAUCAGCUUGUUGGUGGGGUAGUGGCUUACCAAGGCUUUGACGGGUAGCCGGCCUGAGAGGGUGACCGGCCACAUUGGGACUGAGAUACGGCCCAGACUCCUACGGGAGGCAGCAGUGGGGAAUAUUGCACAAUGGGUGGAAGCCUGAUGCAGCAACGCCGUGUGCGGGAUGACGGCCUUCGGGUUGUAAACCGCUUUCGCUCAUGACGAAGCUUUGUGUGACGGUAGUGGGUAAAGAAGCACCGGCUAACUACGU
Molecule: ribosomal RNA, 465 nt
Filed under: uncultured bacterium
Lineage: Bacteria
Description: partial 16S ribosomal RNA
Rfam family: Bacterial small subunit ribosomal RNA
Source: RNAcentral